CCUACGGGGGGCAUCAGUGAGGAAUAUUGGUCAAUGGGCGAGAGCCUGAACCAGCCAAGUCGCGUGAAGGAUGACGGCCCUACGGGUUGUAAACUUCUUUUGUCAGGGAGCAAUUGGGUCCACGCGUGGGCUUAGCGAGAGUACCUGAAGAAAAAGCAUCGGCUAACUCCGUGCCAGCAGCCGCGGUAAUACGGAGGAUGCGAGCGUUAUCCGGAUUUAUUGGGUUUAAAGGGUGUGCAGCCGGGAAGACAAGUCAGAUGUGAAAUCCCGCGGCUCAACCGCGGAACUGCAUUUGAAACUGUUUUUCCUGAGUACCGGAGAGGUCAUCGGAAUUCCUUGUGUAGCGGUGAAAUGCGUAGAUAUAAGGAAGAACACCAGUGGCGAAGGCGGAUGACUGGACGGCAACUGACGGUGAGGCGCGAAAGCGUGGGGAGCAAACAGGAUUAGAUACCCGGGUAGUC
RNAcentral lists this ribosomal RNA (461 nucleotides) under uncultured bacterium. Its description in RNAcentral is "partial 16S ribosomal RNA". It matches the Rfam family "Bacterial small subunit ribosomal RNA", at positions 338 to 795 of the family's 1533-position model. The record is from RNAcentral.